CAACUAUUCAAAUACAAUUCAAAUAAGUUCAAAGCUACAAAAAUAAUCGAUUCGGAGAGGCGCACACAACACCAAUAUAAUUAAACCUAUUAGAGCCGUCGUUAACUUCGUAUAUUGAGCAACCAAAUCCAUUAAUCCAAGAGGAGUUAUUUUGGGAUUGGUUAAGAGCUGGAUGGAGCUGGCCUACAGUGCGUUUCGUGAUAGUAGGACAAAGGCCAAGGUUCCGAAACGCACUGUCGUCUUACUGAGGGUGAACUUGUUGAUAAUGAUGGAUUCUGAUACAGUUCAAUGGGGAAUGCCGCAAAAGAAAGAUAAAAUUCAUCUCCCAUUCUUAGCUGCGUUAAGAAAUGAAGCCAAU
Molecule: long non-coding RNA, 358 nt
Organism: Drosophila gunungcola (fruit fly)
Lineage: Eukaryota; Metazoa; Arthropoda; Insecta; Diptera; Drosophilidae
Exons: 3
Source: RefSeq, a predicted model, not a curated record